AGCCUUGAAACUUGCCUCCUCUUCAUCCGUCCAAGAAAGGGCAACCUCCUCGCCCAUAUGGUCAAAUCCCCACUGGUAGAAAGCAGGGCCGAGUUCACGUCUCAGCUGCAGCCGCCUUUCUGCAAUGUGAAACCUGACACAUUCUACUGA
RNAcentral lists this ribosomal RNA (150 nucleotides) under Triticum aestivum (bread wheat). Its description in RNAcentral is "partial small subunit ribosomal RNA". The record is from RNAcentral. Lineage: Eukaryota; Viridiplantae; Streptophyta; Magnoliopsida; Poales; Poaceae.